CAGCCGCCACGGUAAUACAGAGGGUGCGAGCGUUAAUCGGAUUUACUGGGCGUAAAGCGUGCGUAGGCGGCUUUUUAAGUCGGAUGUGAAAUCCCUGAGCUUAACUUAGGAAUUGCAUUCGAUACUGGGAAGCUAGAGUAUGGGAGAGGAUGGUAGAAUUCCAGGUGUAGCGGUGAAAUGCGUAGAGACCUGGAGGAAUACCGAUGGCGAAGGCAGCCAUCUGGCCUAAUACUGACGCUGAGGUACGAAAGCAUGGGGAGCAGACAGGAUUAGAGACCCCAGUAGUCCCUGUCUCUUAUAC
This 301-nucleotide ribosomal RNA is filed under the name uncultured bacterium. RNAcentral's name for it is "partial 16S ribosomal RNA". It matches the Rfam family "Bacterial small subunit ribosomal RNA", at positions 509 to 807 of the family's 1533-position model. The record is from RNAcentral.